GUAGCGACGACGCCUCCUCCCCUAAACAGCGAGCCCCAAUUCUCAGAUUUAAUUCUUCCCAAAGGGACACACGCCUUCCCUUACGACCUUUCGGUGACCACAGUGGCUGGGACCCUGGGAGGCAAAGAGGACUUUCCUCCCCCAGAUCCUUAGCCAUACUGAAAGAGGGAAGGAAGAAGAUGAUCUGUUAUCAUCUCCAGCCUAAGAGGUCUCUCCUCAACUCCGGCAGAGCCUGGCCCGGGGACAAGGUCUGAGCCCCAUCAGUGUCUGUGCCACCUCCAGGAGCGCCCCGGCUUCACUUCAGUUCCAGCCUGGCAGAGACCCCUCAGGAAGCCUCAGGUGAGCCCAUCCUUUCUUGAGUCUACACUGCCCCUACAAGAGGCUCAGGCUGCUGCUGCUUUGGAUUUCACAGCCCUUCUCUUUGCUUUCGCCAUCCUCUUCCCCCAGUGUGCCAUGUCACUGCCCCUUUGAUAGCAACACACCCUCAUAAUUUGCCUUUGCAUAUAUCUCAUUUGUUCUGAGUUGUAGGGCCAAAACUCAUUUUGUUGACCCAUCUUUGAGACUCAGGGAAGCUGAAUGACUUAUCUACAGUCAGUGAAAGGUCCAGGUCUUUCAGGUAAUGGGGAUUUGGGCUUCAUGCUGACUCUGCUCCUUUCUUAGGUAGGUUAUGCCUCUGAGCCUCAUUAAGGGCAAGACGGGGACACUGAUGCCUAUCUCACAGUGUUCUUCUGAGUUUUAGAAAUUGUAAGUCUCUAGUGACUGGCACAGAUGGGUGGUUAAAACAUGGGAGCUAUUAUUUAGUCUGGGGCCUUCCACUGACCUAUGCUAAAGAGUUAAGUUCCAUAAUAUUUUUGUAUUGGCCCAGUGCCCGUACUAUGUAUUAAACAUUUAUUAAAUGGGUGCAAGUUGGAUGAA
Long non-coding RNA from Lagenorhynchus albirostris (white-beaked dolphin), 915 nucleotides. RefSeq lists it as uncharacterized. The record is from RefSeq and is a predicted model, not a curated record. Lineage: Eukaryota; Metazoa; Chordata; Mammalia; Artiodactyla; Delphinidae. The transcript has 2 exons.